UGGGGAAUCUUGGACAAUGGGCGAAAGCCUGAUCCAGCCAUGCCGCGUGCAGGAUGAAGGCCUUCGGGUUGUAAACUGCUUUUGUACGGAACGAAACGGUCUUUUCUAAUACAGAAGGCUAAUGACGGUACCGUAAGAAUAAGCACCGGCUAACUACGUGCCAGCAGCCGCGGUAAUACGUAGGGUGCAAGCGUUAAUCGGAAUUACUGGGCGUAAAGCGUGCGCAGGCGGUUAUGUAAGACAGUUGUGAAAUCCCCGGGCUCAACCUGGGAACUGCAUCUGUGACUGCAUAGCUAGAGUACGGUAGAGGGGGAUGGAAUUCCGCGUGUAGCAGUGAAAUGCGUAGAUAUGUGGAGGAACACCGAUGGCGAAGGCAGCCCCCUGGGUCAAGAUUGACGCUCAUGCACGAAAGCGUGGGGAGCAAACAGGAUUAGAUACCCCGGUAGUCCCUGAG
Molecule: ribosomal RNA, 454 nt
Filed under: uncultured bacterium
Lineage: Bacteria
Description: bacterial SSU rRNA
Rfam family: Bacterial small subunit ribosomal RNA
Source: RNAcentral